UACGUAGGGUGCGAGCGUUAAUUGGAAUUACUGUGCGUAAAGCGUGCGCAGGCGGUUUUGUAAGCCAGAUGUGAAAGCCCCGGGCUUAACCUGGGAAUGGCAUUUGGGACUGCAAGGCUUGAGUGCGGCAGAGGAGACUGGAAUUCCUGGUGUAGCAGUGAAAUGCGUAGAUAUCAGGAGGAAUACCGAUGGCGAAGGCAGGUCUCUGGGCUGACACUGACGCUCAUGCACGAAAGCGUGGGGAGCAAACAGG
Molecule: ribosomal RNA, 253 nt
Filed under: uncultured bacterium
Lineage: Bacteria
Description: partial 16S ribosomal RNA
Rfam family: Bacterial small subunit ribosomal RNA
Source: RNAcentral